GAUAGAUACCCGGGUAGUCCACCCCGUAAACGUUGGGAACUAGUUGUGGGGUCCAUUCCACGGAUUCCGUGACGCAGCUAACGCAUUAAGUUCCCCGCCUGGGGAGUACGGCCGCAAGGCUAAAACUCAAAGGAAUUGACGGGGACCCGCACAAGCGGCGGAGCAUGCGGAUUAAUUCGAUGCAACGCGAAGAACCUUACCAAGGCUUGACAUAUAGAGGAAACGGCUGGAAACAGUCGCCCCGCAAGGUCUCUAUACAGGUGGUGCAUGGUUGUCGUCAGCUCGUGUCGUGAGAUGUUGGGUUAAGUCCCGCAACGAGCGCAACCCUCGUUCUAUGUUGCCAGCACGUAAUGGUGGGAACUCAUGGGAUACUGCCGGGGUCAACUCGGAGGAAGGUGGGGAUGACGUCAAAUCAUCAUGCCCCUUAUGUCUUGGGCUUCACGCAUGCUACAAUGGCCGGUACAAAGGGCUGCAAUACCGUAAGGUGGAGCGAAUCCCAAAAAGCCGGUCCAGUUCGGAUUGAGGUCUGCAACUCGACCUCA
Molecule: ribosomal RNA, 542 nt
Filed under: uncultured bacterium
Lineage: Bacteria
Description: bacterial SSU rRNA
Rfam family: Bacterial small subunit ribosomal RNA
Source: RNAcentral